RNAcentral lists this long non-coding RNA (821 nucleotides) under Monodelphis domestica (gray short-tailed opossum). Its description in RNAcentral is "lncRNA (ENSMODG00000042576.1)". The record is from RNAcentral. Lineage: Eukaryota; Metazoa; Chordata; Mammalia; Didelphimorphia; Didelphidae.
AUUAAGUGACUUCAUCAGGAUCAAACUGAUGAUAAGUAUUUAUUAUAGAGGUCAUAUUCAGGAAUUCCUGUCUUCAAAUCAAAGAAGAGAACAAAGUGAAGCCGACCAAAUUGAAAUCAGAAUGCUGGGGUACUCUGAUGAGAAGAAACCUAUUGUUUUACAGCAUUAAUUGAAACAAAUUCAGCUCAGGGAACCAUCUAUCAAAUUCAGUUCAAAUAAGUGGAAAAAUGUCAGAUGUGAUGUGGGUCUUGUACUAGCAUUAUAUUUGAAAUGAUAAAUAACUUUGAAGCACAAUACUAGCUAUCUCUCUCAGAUAUGUUGGUGCCUUCAAAGAACCAUAAUUUCAUUUUUGUGAGCAUGUCUUCAACAGAUACAGAUCAAAACAUCUCCCCUUUUUCUCACAUGUCCUCUGUGAUAGAUACUCCUUGAAUAUCAUUUCCAAAGAAGUAAAAAUGAAGAUAAUCACACAGGACACAAUGGGAUGGUUCAUUGUUGGUGAUUAGACUACAAAAGGAAACCACUGAAGAACGUUGAAGAACAGGAGAAAAAAAUCUAUAAAUGAACUGUAAAAUAAGAAAUGAUAAUCAUUCAUGAAAUAAGUGCAAGAGAUGAAAGAUAAACAGGCAAAGGUAUUCUCUUGUAGCAUUGGGAUGUCAAGAAAAAGCCAGGAAGACCUUUACCUUCUUGGAUGAAGUUUAUGUGGUUAACUAAGAGGAAAAUAUGAGCAAGAUCUAAGAUAGCUAUUAUCAGGAAUGGAUGGGCAGUGAUCUCUAUAUUUGGACAGAACAACCAGAUACAAGGUCACAGAUCCAUUGAACUAU